GUCUUGUAAUUGGAAUGAUGGUGACUUAAACCCUCACCAGAGUACCAAUUGGAGGGCAAGUCUGGUGCCAGCAGCCGCGGUAAUUCCAGCUCCAAUAGCGUAUAUUAAACUUGUUGCAGUUAAAAAGCUCGUAGUUGAAUUUCAGCGUUUCGCGUGUGCCUCUUUUGGCCCAUCUCGUCUCGCUUUUUUUAUUACUUUGAGAAAAUUAGAGUGUUUCAAGCAGGCUUUUGUCUUGAAUACUUGAGCAUGGAAUAAUAGAGUAGGACCUUGGUUCUAUUUUGUUGGUUUUGUUACCUUGGUAAUGGUUAAUAGGAACGGUUGGGGGCAUUCGUAUUUAACUGUCAGAGGUGAAAUUCUUAGAUUUGUUAAAGACGAACUACUGCGAAAGCAUUUGCCAAGGACGUUUCCAUUAAUCAAGAACGAAAGUUAGGGGAUCGAAGACGAUCAGAUACCGUCGUAGUCCUAACCAUAAACUA
RNAcentral lists this ribosomal RNA (476 nucleotides) under Babesia occultans. Its description in RNAcentral is "SSU rRNA". It matches the Rfam family "Eukaryotic small subunit ribosomal RNA", at positions 500 to 1039 of the family's 1831-position model. Lineage: Eukaryota; Apicomplexa; Aconoidasida; Piroplasmida; Babesiidae. The record is from RNAcentral.